This 253-nucleotide ribosomal RNA is filed under the name uncultured bacterium. RNAcentral's name for it is "partial 16S ribosomal RNA". It matches the Rfam family "Bacterial small subunit ribosomal RNA", at positions 524 to 776 of the family's 1533-position model. The record is from RNAcentral.
UACGGAGGGUGCAAGCGUUAUCCGGAUUCACUGGGCUUAAAGGGUGCGUAGGUGGGUAGGUAAGUCAGUGGUGAAAUCUCCGGGCUUAACUCGGAAACUGCCAUUGAUACUAUCUUUCUUGAAUACCGUGGAGGUCAGCGGAAUAUGUCAUGUAGCGGUGAAAUGCUUAGAUAUGACAUAGAACACCAAUUGCGAAGGCAGCUGGCUACACGAAUAUUGACACUGAUGCACGAAAGCGUGGGGAGCAAACAGG